GACGAACGCUGGCGGCGUGCUUAACACAUGCAAGUCGAACGGAAAGGCCUCUUUCGGGGGGUACUCGAGUGGCGAACGGGUGAGUAACACGUGAGUAACCUGCCCUUGACUUUGGGAUAACUUCAGGAAACUGGGGCUAAUACCGGAUAGGAGCUCCUGCUGCAUGGUGGGGGUUGGAAAGUUUCGGCGGUUGGGGAUGGACUCGCGGCUUAUCAGCUUGUUGGUGGGGUAGUGGCUUACCAAGGCUUUGACGGGUAGCCGGCCUGAGAGGGUGACCGGCCACAUUGGGACUGAGAUACGGCCCAGACUCCUACGGGAGGCAGCAGUGGGGAAAAUUGCACAAUGGGUGGAAGCCUGAUGCAGCAACGCCGUGUGCGGGAUGACGGCCUUCGGGUUGUAAACCGCUUUCGCUCAUGACGAAGCUUUGUGUGACGGUAGUGGGUAAAGAAGCACCGGCUAACUACGUG
RNAcentral lists this ribosomal RNA (467 nucleotides) under uncultured bacterium. Its description in RNAcentral is "partial 16S ribosomal RNA". It matches the Rfam family "Bacterial small subunit ribosomal RNA", at positions 28 to 507 of the family's 1533-position model. The record is from RNAcentral.